GAUGAACGCUGGCGGCGUGCCUAAUACAUGCAAGUCGAGCGAACGGACGAGAAGCUUGCUUCUCUGAUGUUAGCGGCGGACGGGUGAGUAACACGUGGAUAACCUACCUAUAAGACUGGGAUAACUUCGGGAAACCGGAGCUAAUACCGGAUAAUAUUUUGAACCGCAUGGUUCAAAAGUGAAAGACGGUCUUGCUGUCACUUAUAGAUGGAUCCGCGCUGCAUUAGCUAGUUGGUAAGGUAACGGCUUACCAAGGCAACGAUGCAUAGCCGACCUGAGAGGGUGAUCGGCCACACUGGAACUGAGACACGGUCCAGACUCCUACGGGAGGCAGCAGUAGGGAAUCUUCCGCAAUGGGCGAAAGCCUGACGGAGCAACGCCGCGUGAGUGAUGAAGGUCUUCGGAUCGUAAAACUCUGUUAUUAGGGAAGAACAUAUGUGUAAGUAACUGUGCACAUCUUGACGGUACCUAAUCAGAAAGCCACGGCUAACUACGUGCCAGCAGCCGCGGUAAUACGUAGGUGGCAAGCGUUAUCCGGAAUUAUUGGGCGUAAAGCGCGCGUAGGCGGUUUUUUAAGUCUGAUGUGAAAGCCCACGGCUCAACCGUGGAGGGUCAUUGGAAACUGGAAAACUUGAGUGCAGAAGAGGAAAGUGGAAUUCCAUGUGUAGCGGUGAAAUGCGCAGAGAUAUGGAGGAACACCAGUGGCGAAGGCGACUUUCUGGUCUGUAACUGACGCUGAUGUGCGAAAGCGUGGGGAUCAAACAGGAUUAGAUACCCUGGUAGUCCACGCCGUAAACGAUGAGUGCUAAGUGUUAGGGGGUUUCCGCCCCUUAGUGCUGCAGCUAACGCAUUAAGCACUCCGCCUGGGGAGUACGACCGCAAGGUUGAAACUCAAAGGAAUUGACGGGGACCCGCACAAGCGGUGGAGCAUGUGGUUUAAUUCGAAGCAACGCGAAGAACCUUACCAAAUCUUGACAUCCUUUGACAACUCUAGAGAUAGAGCUUUCCCCUUCGGGGGACAAAGUGACAGGUGGUGCAUGGUUGUCGUCAGCUCGUGUCGUGAGAUGUUGGGUUAAGUCCCGCAACGAGCGCAACCCUUAAGCUUAGUUGCCAUCAUUAAGUUGGGCACUCUAAGUUGACUGCCGGUGACAAACCGGAGGAAGGUGGGGAUGACGUCAAAUCAUCAUGCCCCUUAUGAUUUGGGCUACACACGUGCUACAAUGGACAAUACAAAGGGCAGCGAAACCGCGAGGUCAAGCAAAUCCCAUAAAGUUGUUCUCAGUUCGGAUUGUAGUCUGCAACUCGACUACAUGAAGCUGGAAUCGCUAGUAAUCGUAGAUCAGCAUGCUACGGAAAUACGUUCCCGGGUCU
RNAcentral lists this ribosomal RNA (1371 nucleotides) under uncultured bacterium. RNAcentral describes it as "bacterial SSU rRNA". It matches the Rfam family "Bacterial small subunit ribosomal RNA", at positions 28 to 1381 of the family's 1533-position model. The record is from RNAcentral.